Molecule: long non-coding RNA, 422 nt
Filed under: Anser cygnoides (Swan goose)
Lineage: Eukaryota; Metazoa; Chordata; Aves; Anseriformes; Anatidae
Description: lncRNA (ENSACDG00005001610.1)
Source: RNAcentral
GCAAUCUUUACUUCUUUCCUUCAUCAAAAACUGAAAGGCAGUACCAGCUCCACCUGGCUAUCAGCUAUGUGGGAGGUCUACAAGCACCAUACUUUGUAGAUGAAAUGCAGCUGAGGAGGGUCUGCAGACUGGUGAAGAAGUAAGUGUUGCUGCUGUGUAGAGAGAGCACCUUCUACAUCUGUGAGGAAGCACUGGAGAAAGACCAGAAAAUGUUAAAGUACCAGGGGCUGGGCCUUACCUGCUGCUCAGAGACAGAUUUCAGCUACAUCAGAAGAUGUGAACAGAGUGAUAACUCUGAUCCUCAGGACAUCAGAAGAAAAAGCUGCUACCUCCUAGCAACAAUACCUUCAUAUGCUUCAAGGACAGAGAAAAAAGUAGCAGUAUUCAGGGAAUUCCUACACUCUGCCAUUUGGGAUACAUAG